CAACAACCAUUUCACAAACGUUUCUGUAACAUUUGUGUUAAUCCAGUGCCGCACAAGCAGAUCAGGCGUGCGCGCGGGAGUGUUGCUAGGCGGCCAGUUACUCCGUGCGUGUUUGUUUUGCUCUAGCCUUCGGUGUGUGCGUUGAUCCGCUUCGGGC
Anopheles cruzii is the source of this 157-nucleotide long non-coding RNA. RefSeq lists it as uncharacterized. The record is from RefSeq and is a predicted model, not a curated record. The transcript has 3 exons. NCBI's taxonomy places the organism in Eukaryota, Metazoa, Arthropoda, Insecta, Diptera, Culicidae.